UUUCUUUGGAGAGUUUGAUCCUGGCUCAGGACGAACGCUGGCGGCGUGCCUAAUACAUGCAAGUCGAGCGGACCAAAUC
This 79-nucleotide ribosomal RNA is filed under the name Geobacillus zalihae. Its description in RNAcentral is "partial 16S ribosomal RNA". It matches the Rfam family "Bacterial small subunit ribosomal RNA", at positions 1 to 77 of the family's 1533-position model. The record is from RNAcentral. Lineage: Bacteria; Bacillati; Bacillota; Bacilli; Caryophanales; Anoxybacillaceae.